AGGCUCACCUUGGCAGCACAUAUACUAAAAUUGGAAAGAUACAGAGAUGAUUAGCAUGGUCCCUGUGCAAAGAUGACACACAAAUUUGUGGAGCAUUCUAUAUAUAU
This 107-nucleotide small nuclear RNA is filed under the name Myotis davidii. Lineage: Eukaryota; Metazoa; Chordata; Mammalia; Chiroptera; Vespertilionidae. The record is from RNAcentral.